GAGGAAAGUCCGGACACUAGGGGACAAUCGGACCGAGUAACACUUGGGCUUUCGGAUUCCAGAAAUGGGAAACGGGGGACGGAAAGUGCAACAGAAAGGAAACCGCCUACCUCGGUAGGUAAGGGUGAAAUGGUGGGGUAAGAGCCCACCGCUUUGUUCGUAAGAAUAAAGGCUUGGUAAACCCUCCGAUGUGCAAUCUCAAGUAAACAACCGUUAUGAGCCUGUCCCGCCAGGUUGUGGGUAGAGAGCAUUAGAUAAAUGAUCGCAUAGAACAGAAUCCGGCUUA
This 286-nucleotide RNase P RNA is filed under the name Leptospira vanthielii serovar Holland str. Waz Holland = ATCC 700522. Its description in RNAcentral is "Bacterial RNase P class A". It matches the Rfam family "Bacterial RNase P class A", at positions 43 to 351 of the family's 367-position model. From Rfam's summary of the family: Ribonuclease P (RNase P) is a ubiquitous endoribonuclease, found in archaea, bacteria and eukarya as well as chloroplasts and mitochondria. Its best characterised activity is the generation of mature 5'-ends of tRNAs by cleaving the 5'-leader elements of precursor-tRNAs. The record is from RNAcentral. Lineage: Bacteria; Pseudomonadati; Spirochaetota; Leptospiria; Leptospirales; Leptospiraceae.